UACGUAGGGAGCAAGCGUUGUCCGGAAUCAUUGGGCGUAAAGAGCGCGUAGGCGGUCCGGUAAGUCGGUUGUGAAAACUGGGGGCUCAACCCUCAGAGGCCGACCGAUACUGCCGGGCUAGAGUCCGGAAGAGGCGAGUGGAAUUCCUGGUGUAGCGGUGAAAUGCGCAGAUAUCAGGAAGAACACCCGUGGCGAAGGCGGUUCUCUGGGACGGUACUGACGCUGAGACGCGAAAGCGUGGGGAGCGAACAGG
RNAcentral lists this ribosomal RNA (253 nucleotides) under uncultured bacterium. Its description in RNAcentral is "partial 16S ribosomal RNA". It matches the Rfam family "Bacterial small subunit ribosomal RNA", at positions 524 to 776 of the family's 1533-position model. The record is from RNAcentral.